This 459-nucleotide ribosomal RNA is filed under the name uncultured bacterium. RNAcentral's name for it is "bacterial SSU rRNA". It matches the Rfam family "Bacterial small subunit ribosomal RNA", at positions 340 to 786 of the family's 1533-position model. The record is from RNAcentral.
UACGGAAGGCAGCAGUGGGGAAUAUUGCACAAUGGGCGAAAGCCUGAUGCAGCUAUGCCGCGUGUAUGAAGAAGGCCUUAGGGUUGUAAAGUACUUUCAUCGGGGAGGAAAAACAAAACUAAUAAUUUUAUUUCUUGACGUUACCCGAAAAAGAAGCACCGGCUAACUCCGUGCCAGCAGCCGCGGUAAUACGGAGGGUGCUAGCGUUAAUCAGAAUUACUGGGCGUAAAAGAGCACGUAGGUGGUUUUUUUAAGUCAGAUGUGAAAUCCCUGGGCUUAACCUAGGAACUGCAUUUUGAAACUGAAAUACUAGAGUAUCGUAGAGGGAGGUAGAAUUCUAGGUGUAGCGGUGAAAUGCGUAGAUAUCUGGAGGAAUACCUGUGGCGAAAAGCGGCCUCCUAAACGAAUACUGACACUGAGGUGCGAAAAGCGUGGGGAGCAAAACAGGGAUUAGAUACC